Molecule: ribosomal RNA, 253 nt
Filed under: uncultured bacterium
Lineage: Bacteria
Description: partial 16S ribosomal RNA
Rfam family: Bacterial small subunit ribosomal RNA
Source: RNAcentral
UACGUAGGGUGCGAGCGUUAAUCGGAAUUACUGGGCGUAAAGCGUGCGCAGGCGGUUUUGUAAGCCAGAUGUGAAAUCCCCGGGCUUAACCUGGGAAUGGCAUUUGGGACUGCAAGGCUGGAGUUUGGCAGAGGAGACUGGAAUUCCUGGUGUAGCAGUGAAAUGCGUAGAUAUCAGGAGGAACACCGGUGGCGAAGGCGGCAUCCUGGACCGGCAUUGACGCUGAGGCGCGAAAGCUAGGGGAGCAAACGGG